UGGGGAAUUUUGGACAAUGGGCGAAAGCCUGAUCCAGCAAUGCCGCGUGUGUGAAGAAGGCCUUCGGGUUGUAAAGCACUUUUGUCCGGAAAGAAAUCCUUGGCUCUAAUACAGUCGGGGGAUGACGGUACCGGAAGAAUAAGCACCGGCUAACUACGUGCCAGCAGCCGCGGUAAUACGUAGGGUGCAAGCGUUAAUCGGAAUUACUGGGCGUAAAGCGUGCGCAGGCGGUUUGCUAAGACCGAUGUGAAAUCCCCGGGCUCAACCUGGGAACUGCAUUGGUGACUGGCAGGCUAGAGUAUGGCAGAGGGGGGUAGAAUUCCACGUGUAGCAGUGAGAUGCGUAGAGAUGUGGAGGAAUACCGAUGGCGAAGGCAGCCCCCUGGGCCAAUACUGACGCUCAUGCACGAAAGCGUGGGGAGCAAAACAGGAUUAGAUACCCUGGUAGUCCACGCCCUAAAACGAUGUCAACUAGUUGUUGGGGAUUCAUUUCCUUAGUAACGUAGCUAACGCGUGAAGUUGACCGCCUGGGGAGUACGGUCGCAAGAUUAAAACUCAAAGAAUUGACGGGGUCAUAGCUGUUUCCU
This 586-nucleotide ribosomal RNA is filed under the name uncultured bacterium. RNAcentral describes it as "partial 16S ribosomal RNA". It matches the Rfam family "Bacterial small subunit ribosomal RNA", at positions 355 to 1375 of the family's 1533-position model. The record is from RNAcentral.